Long non-coding RNA from Entelurus aequoreus (snake pipefish), 764 nucleotides. RefSeq lists it as uncharacterized. NCBI's taxonomy places the organism in Eukaryota, Metazoa, Chordata, Actinopteri, Syngnathiformes, Syngnathidae. The transcript has 3 exons. The record is from RefSeq and is a predicted model, not a curated record.
UUGGACUUGAGCCUUUUGACUUGACAUGACUUGCUACUUUCCCCAAAACCCAAAGAUUAAAGAGUUAUUUGGGAGCGCGCCGCUCCGUAUUUUUCCUGUUCUUCGUCUGUGUCUAUCAGCGUGUUGUUCCUGUCAGCUGGUGUGCUCUCAGUACAACAGCCAAUCAAAUUAGAUCUACGCUAUUUUCAUCCCACAGCUCUCAUCCAAUCAAAUUGCAGGACAACCAAUGAAGAAGAAUGGUCAAACAAUGCGGCAGUGAGAAACAAUUAUGCCAAAGUUAAUUUCGUUCGGGUAUUAAAACUACGACUCGGUCAACAAAAAACGAAUAGCCCUAUGCAAAUCAUGCAGUUGGAAUAUUAUAGACGGAGACGUAACAACUUCCAACUUCGUUCGACAUUUGAAGAUGCACAAAGAAGGGAGUAGCUUGUCCCAUUCUGGCACGAUAAAGAAGAUAAUCCCCUGUAAUGCUCCAGGAAGCUGCGCAUUGUUGACCAACAGGGCGAUGAGGAUGGCGUAUGGGAGCAGAGCUGUGAGGACGUACUUGAAGAACUCCUGGCUGGCAGUGGAAGAGUUGCUGCUGUUUGUGGCGUGAUCGGUGCAGUUGGCCGUGUUCCAGGUGUUGUUGCAACUCUGCCACGGUAGCGGUGCUUGGAAGGAGCUGAACAGGUAGUACAGGGCCCAGGUAAUGACCACGUUGUAGUAUGUGCACAUGAUAAAGGAAAUGGCCACAGAUGCUAUUCCUACACCUGAGCGGGCAGACAAAA